RNAcentral lists this unclassified non-coding RNA (363 nucleotides) under uncultured Chloroflexota bacterium. RNAcentral describes it as "uncultured Chloroflexi bacterium contains 16S-23S intergenic spacer region". The record is from RNAcentral. Lineage: Bacteria; Bacillati; Chloroflexota.
UCCCGGUUGCUCCGGGCAGUCUCGUGUGAAAAAUUCAACACACGACGAGGGUUGCGCUCGUUGCGGGACUUAACCCAGCACCUCACGGUACGAGCUGACGACAGCCAUGCAGCAUCUGUGACACCGCCCCGAAGGGAAGGUGACUUUCAUCACCGGUCAGUGCCAUGUCAAGCCCUGGUAAGGUUCUUCGCGUAGCUUCGAAUUAAACCGCACGCUCCGCUGCUUGUGCGGGCCCCCGUCAAUUCCUUUGAGUUUUAACCUUGCGGUCGUAGUCCCCAGGCGGAGUACUUAUCGCGUUAGCUGCGUUACUAAAGGAUUUAACUCCUCCAACAACUAGUCAUCAUCGUUUAGGGCGUGGACUAC